RNAcentral lists this long non-coding RNA (4721 nucleotides) under Equus caballus (horse). RNAcentral describes it as "lncRNA (ENSECAG00000053454.1)". The record is from RNAcentral. Lineage: Eukaryota; Metazoa; Chordata; Mammalia; Perissodactyla; Equidae.
GUCACAGGCUCCCUCCUCUCUGCAAGUAGUCUCAAGGCCAAAGACAGGCUGGUGGGAAAGCUCCAACCAGCAAGGCCAUAUGCUCCCCCUCCCCUACCUAAAACCCCAAAUAAAAACCCUUCCUUUUAGCUUUUCAGGGAGUUUGGGAUUUCAGCAUUAGCUGCCCUCUCUCCUUGCUCAGCACUGUGCAAUAGUUAAAUUCCUACUUUCUUCCACUACCGCCGGUGUCAGAGAUUGGCUUGCUGUGCAAUGGGUGAGCGAACUCACUUCAGGUUUGAUAUCAAUUUGGUGACCCAGAUGGGACAAUGCCCCAGGUGGACCACUUGCCUGUGGCACACCAGCCUCUGGCUAAAGGCCUCUCUUGGAAGCUGUCCUGCAGCUGCCUGAGCCCCUUUUCUCAGGGACAGCCCCAAGCAACUGGCUGCUAACCAGAUGUCAGUGGCCCAUGGCGCUUUGCUUUGGUGGUGGAAGAAACUAGGUUUAGGACUUAGGAAGACAUCUCUCAUAAGUAGCUGGUAGCUUUUGUCUUUGUCCUUGUGCUAACCUUUUCCAGCAGGACCAGCCAAAAAUAAUGGGCACCCAGCAGCCUUCUGGGUUCCAUUUGUUUUGAAGUUGCGACAUCCCGGCCAAAUUUUGAAUCCACUAUCCUCCAUGGAGACAGACACCACCAAGGACAAGCCCUGGAUUCAUUAUCUCCUCUUUGCAAAGAGAUACAGGCUGGUGCGAAAGCUGCUGACCAGCAAGGUCACGGACUCCCUCCUCUCUGCAAGUAGUCUCAAGGCCAAAGACAGGCUGGUGGGAAAGCUCCAACUAGCAAGGCCAUAUGCUGCCCCCCUCCCCCCCCACGUAAAACCCCAAAUAGAAACCCUUCCUUUUAGCUUUUUGGGAAGUUUGGGAUUUCAGCAUUAGCUUCCCUCUCUCCUUGCUCAGUGCUGUGCAAUAAUAAAAUUCCUACUUUCUUCCACCACACCCAGCAUCAGAAAUUGGCUUGCUGUGCAACAGGUUUAAAACACCUGGGUCAAGACCUCUUCUUCUGGCCAAAAUGGAGAAACAAGGACUGGAUUUCCUCUCCUGCCUAAAAAAACCAAAAGACAUACAAAAUGUAUGAAGGAUUUUCGAGACUUUGGAUAUCAGGCAAUGAAAGACAAUGAUCUUUGAGUGAUGGAAAAUAAAUGAGUUUUGGACCACAGUUGACCAUGGGUAACUGAAACCAUGGAAAGCAAAACCGCAGAUAAGGGAGGACUACUGUGUUCCUUUUAUAUAGGAAAAGGAACAUCAAUUAUAUAAUGCAACAUUGUGGAUGACCUGGUAUAACAGACUCAGAAAGUAUUGGGUAAGCUGAAUAGAGUUCCGAGAAUGCUGGGCACAUUCGCCGAACAAUCAAAACACUUCCAACAGAGAGGGAAAAAGAAAAGCAGAUCUAUUGAAAAACAUUUUCAUGACACAGAACCAUGGAAUUAAAUGACUUUCAAAGAAAGGUGUAAACCUUACAAUAAUUUCAAGUCACAUUCAGUAUGAAGCAAAGAUUUACAUGAAAGAACUUUUAGAUGUAUGAACGUUCAUAUGAGAGAAAUGUGCUCAGUGAAGGAGAGAACCCAAAAUGCUUUGCAAUAGCCUGGCCAUUGCUCGAGCAUGAUGACUUCAAAAGAAGCUACAGAAAGAAAUGGAAAGUUGGAAUAAAUACUGACCAAGCAAGGAAAGGACAGAAUAAAAAUGAGUUCCUGUGUCUAUAUAUCCAAGUCCAGAUACCAUUUCUGUAUGGAUGAUCUAGAGAUGAUAAAUUCACAGCAUGUCAAAACCUGAACUAAUCUCAAGUUUGUUACCAAAUUUUUUCUCCAGAUCUUGUUUGAUGAUAGCCCAUCUACCCAGUUACCCAAUCACAGACCUCAGAGUCAUCUUGGAAUCCUCGCUGUGUCCCAUUUUCCCCCAUCUUUUACCAAUUCUAUUGAUUUCGCUGCUAGUGUCUAGACACUCCUUUUAAUGUGUAUGUUAAUGAUAUGAAUCAGAACUUCAUCAAUCUCUUGCGUAGCUCACUGUAACAAUGUCUUAAUUGAUCUCCGUGUCCCUGGUGUUUCUCCUUUCAAUCUAUUCCCCACAUUGCUGCCAAAAUAGUCAUUCUAAAAUGCAAAUCUGAUCAUAUCGCUUCCUUGGUAAAUAUCCUCCAAAGUUUCCUGAUACCAAUUGGGAUAAAAUCCAGAUUCCUUAGCAGAACAUGAAAAGCCCUUAAUAGGGACUACCCUCCUCUCCAUCCAUUCUUUCCAUCAGUAGCCCCUGCUCAUCCUUCCAGACCCAGUUCAGGAAUUAUCUCCUCUGAAUAUUCACUCAUGAUACCCUUAUCUGAAUCAGCUUCCCUAACCACAGCACCUUGCAAUUCUUUUUGGCUUAGAACUUAUCUUAGUUUGUUGUAAUUGAGUGACCAUGUCUCUUUAUCCUACUAUUCUGCAAGAAACUUAAGGAAAGAAGCCAUUGUUCUUCAUUUCUGUAUCCCCAGCAUGGAACACUAAUACGUAGAAAGCAAUUAAAGUGUUUGAGAAAGAAAGGAAAUAGGAAAGAAAAAGAAAAUAGAAGGGAUCAACUAGAUAACUCUAGAAAAUUUUUAACGCUAAAAUGCUGUCUCUGUGAUUCCAUUUAUUUGGGCCAGACCCCCAGGUCAUACACACAUCAUCUACAGGCAGUGAGGGGUAAACUAUCAACACCAAUAAGCUAUUCUUCCAUUCUCCAACCCCAAGGGAAAGUGUUCCCUUAAACUCACCACAUAAAGACAACAAGGAUGCUUUAAGGUGAGAGAAACCUGUAGUAGUAUACAUUCUUAGGAUUACCAGGAGAAAUAGAUCCCCAAGUGGUAGACCAGGGAGCUGAUUUUUACCUCCAAAGCAACAAAGCUCAUGGAAGCAUUGUGUCACCCUCCCUUCCUGCAGCCAUCAACGCUGAGUGCCAGGGAGGUGAAGACUCUCCACACACUAGGGGGUACUCUUGGACCAGCAGUUUCCAUGCUCAUUAAGUUCUCUUUGGAUUUUGCUUCUCUUCAAAUCAAGUUAAAAUGUAUCUCCCCUUAUUCCUAGACUCUGGGAAGUAGAUUUGGUUGUGCCUUCUUCUGUAGCAUACCCAUAACUCUUCUAAAGAAUUUAUCACACUGUUAUUAUUAUUGUUAUUAGAUAAGUGUUCAGAGACAAUUCUCCAAGGGUCUCUUGCGUUUCUGCCCAUUUGAGCAAAGACGUUGACAGCUUUUGCUUCCAACUAUCUUUCCAAGGAUGUUUGUAUGGCAAACUGCCUUUGAGCAUGGAGAUAGUAUCUCCCUUCAAGGGAGAAGAAGGCAGGUUUUUCCUAACCUAUCUUGGUAAUAAAGAUAAUGUCUCCCACUGAGGUGAAGGUUAGGCAAGUUUGCUAGCAGCCUCCUUUGUGAGAUUGGGAGCUUCCAACGCUUAUGUUUCCUCAAUUGUGAUACAAACCUACUGUAGACACAUCUACCUGGGCUACUUUACAUCACCGCCAUGGAACUAGAGGAGAGGGGAGGAAUCCAGGAGAACAUGAAGUUCAUGCUGCCUGCUGUGCCGUGAGUAAUAAAGUUUUCUCUGAUCCAGGAAUCUCAUGUCUUAUGUCAGGAUCUAUGAACCUGCAGCAGACUCACUUGUUAAGCAUUUAAACAGAGCGAAAUCCCAUACCUUUUUCAAGUUCCUGCUAAUGUGCAGUGUGUUUGUGUCUGUGUGUGUGUGUGUGUGUGUGUGUGUGUUUAACCUAUUCAGCUUCUUCUGACCGUGAACUCCUUAAGAGUAAGGAUUGUAUCUAAUCCAUCCAGGGAUCUCCAAGACUUAACCUAAUUAAAAUUAAAAUAGACAUUAGCCGAAUAAAAAUGUAAUGAGAACAUGGGUAGUCAAGAAGAGGAAAAGGGGUCAGGGAAAACCUACCACAUAAUGUACAGGUCUUUUCAUCAUUUAAAUUAAUGCUGCUUUUCAUUAAGUUGAAUUAACGCUAUUGUUCUGUUAGAAAAGAUAAAUAGACUGUUAUCCAUGUAUAUUCUUUACAUGACAAUUAUGACCUUAACCCAACUCUUGCAUUGUCAUUCUAUCCUCAUAUCAUAAGUCCCCACUCACCUACCCACCAUCAACCCUAAAGUUCAAAGUAUAAAAUCAUAUUUUGCAAUAAAAGACACUGAGGGAUUCUGACUGAAAACAUACCAUAAGGAAGUAGGGGUUUAGACCUGUGUUUCAGAUGGGAAUGUUGCUUCUGGACUCCAUUUUUGGUUAACGUUGGAACCCAUCCUUGUUAGUCACUCCUGCACUGUGGGUGGAUGUGUCUGGAGAAAUGACUCUAUGUAUGUGCAUUCAAAGAGUUAAAGCAUCAUAACUAAUAAAAAUUGGGUCCUGAGUAGUUUUGUUGUGAGUCUCUUUCUUCUGAGUGUGAAACUGAGGAAAGAAAUGUCCUCCUCAUUGAGAGGAAACCUCAUAGCUGGACAAAGCAUUCAGAGAAGUGGGAGGUUCACUGGUGAUAGCAAUGGGAUCAGGAGGUGAGGCAUAAGGACCAGGAGGAACAGAAAAUGUAACUGUGAGUCUCCCGAAGCCCUUGAGGCUGCUCUCAUUGGCUUAAGGAGAUGGGGCUCCAACGAACGUGGAGGCACCUGAUGGACUGGAUAUACCUGACAGAUAAAGUUAUCCGGGUGUCAGCCUCACUGGGGUCCAGCCAAAGGUCUGAAUUUCUAUUUCUUCUAAGAUAACUGAUUCAUG